CUGCCGGGAGUCGCCGCGGCUCCGGCGCCGCUGCCAUGCACCCCUCUGCGGCCGGCCGGCGGAGGAGGCGGAGGAGGAAGAGAUGCUAAUGAGGGAGGCGGUGUCAGGGCUCCGCCGGGGUUGGGGGGUGCUCGCAAGCGCGGUCUGGCCCCGGCAGCUCCGAGCCCCGGUAGCGAUCCCUGCCCGCUCCCUCUGCGUCGCUCGGGCCGGAGCGGGCUCAGUCCCCUCCCGUUUUAAUAUCUGUGUCUGGCUGAAAUCCCUCAGGAUUCCAACACGGUUUUUUUCUAAACAUCAGCAUUUCUUAAACAAAAAACCCCACUUCAAUGGCACAGAUUUAAAUCUGCAUUUAUAUCAUAAGAACUAUAUGAGGGUGGAUGGAGUUUUCAGGCCAUUCGUUACCCAGGUUUGUGAUGCACCCAGCACGAGGUCAUCUCAGUCUCCUGCUGGACUCCCUUGGCACUACAGAAACAUUGGUGGCAACCCAACAAGGAUACAGCCUCAGUUCAAGGCCAUGUUACUGCUGAGCAGACAUCAGCACAGACCAUCUGGAACAACACUGGCCACUUUUGCCUCCCUGCUGCAUCAUGUUCUUCUCACAGAACAGUGUUUGAGGCAUUAACACCCAUGAAUUAUAAAACAAUACAAAAAAAAUAAUGUUCUGCAGGCUUAGCUUUGCUGCAGUGUCCCCAAUACAGAAAAGCCUCCAUUCAAGGUCUUGUAAUAAUGAGCCAGGCAGAAGGAUGGGUCACAGCUGCCAUGUUAAUGCAAAGCAAAGUGUCAUUUUCUCUUCACUAGCAGCAUUCCUAUCCUCAUUCGCAUUGCUUUUCAAUAACACUCCAUGAAAGGAUGUUGAUGUCUUGUUUAAGCAAUGAUGAAAAGUUCGGAGGUUAAUUAACAAGAAGUAGAUACUGAGGAAAAAGUCCAAGAAAAAAAACAAACAAAAAAUUUUUAAAGCUAUAAAGUAUCAUUAGAUUGCCUUUUCCAGUGGAAAAUAGUACUAAUUUUAACACUGCUUAGACACUACAGACUGUCCUUUGGCCAGGGAGAACCACAAGUCCUCUGACCUGUAUUUUAUAAUGCUUUAAUACAUGUUUGUGCUUUCUGUCAGUCAGGAAAACACCAAAUUAUGUGGCCUACAGCAAAAGCCAGCAGUCUGUUAUAUUCACACAUACUCUGUACCCUACAGAGGCAGAUACCUACUUUAGCAAUGUCAGAACAGCUUGUCAAUUAAAUCUGGCCAUAUAUCUUCUUUCGGCUUGUGACAUGUUGAUUGACAACCUAUCGGGAGGCCUGGCCCAGACAUCUGGGGGAUUUUGCCAGCAAGGUCAGGAGAGCUUCUUCUGCAAUGCAAUUUCCAUCAUGGAGCCCUGGGGCACAUGUUAACAGAUCUCACCGGCAUUCUGUGCUGUGGGACUCUCCUGCAAACAGCACAUCUCUGGCUUUGGCUUCUUGCUCUGCUCUUCCUGCUUUACCUCCAAAAUCUUCCUCUGCUAUUUUGGAGCUAGUGUUGCAAAAUCAGGGCUUUUUCUUGCUAUAAACAAUUAAUGUAUUGGAAAUACAGUGUCCAUGAAGUUAAUGUGGCCUUUAGCAGAGCUAAGCACAGCCUAAGGACAGCUGCCAGUGCUGCCCAGCUUCCCUGCUAAUGCCCUAAUGGGAAAACCCUGCGUUUCUCAGACAAAGAUAUUUCAAUGCAUCAAAUCCAGACAAAUCAUAACCUGCCUUCUCAGCAAAGCUACAACCAAAGGAAUGUUUCACACCCUUGAUCAGUCCUCCCUGCUUGAAGCCUGAAGGAAGAACAUCAAUUAAAUCCUUACUAUGAAAACUGUUCUUGGUGGCAAAACUCAUUUUGCCUUUGCAGCUAUUCUCACAUAUGGCAGUUUCCACUAAUCUUGAAAGUUAAGUGGAUUCUCUUGGAAGAGGAAGGAUUCACUACUGGACAUUUGAGACCAAGUCCCAGGAGGAACAUCAUUCUCUUAACUUUGCUCUCCCCUGGACUAAUGAAUGUGAGGAACGAAGGCUCCACUUGGACUGGAAGGAUUAUUCUUCUGUAUGUCAAAGUCAUGUGAAAUAAGCAACGUAAUUUGUGGAGCAAUCAUGGGAAUUUAAUUAUUUCUCAGGAUACAAUUUUAAUGACUCCUCUCCAUAGAUCUUAAGCAGCUACUGGUGUCGUGUUGCAUUAGAAGCUCAAGUUGCAGCAGGCAGAAUGGCAGCAUGACAAGAAAAAAAAAUAAACCUCUGAAUGGUUUUCCCA
Zonotrichia albicollis (white-throated sparrow) is the source of this 2251-nucleotide long non-coding RNA. The record is from Ensembl. NCBI's taxonomy places the organism in Eukaryota, Metazoa, Chordata, Aves, Passeriformes, Passerellidae.